RNAcentral lists this ribosomal RNA (253 nucleotides) under uncultured bacterium. Its description in RNAcentral is "partial 16S ribosomal RNA". It matches the Rfam family "Bacterial small subunit ribosomal RNA", at positions 524 to 776 of the family's 1533-position model. The record is from RNAcentral.
UACGUAGGGGGCGAGCGUUAAUCGGAAUUACUGGGCGUAAAGCGUGCGCAGGCGGUUCGUUGUGUCCGAUGUGAAAGCCCCGGGCUCAACCUGGGAAUGGCAUUGGAAACUGGCGAGCUAGAGUGUGGCAGAGGGGGGUGGAAUUCCGCGUGUAGCAGUGAAAUGCGUAGAGAUGCGGAGGAACACCGAUGGCGAAGGCAGCCCCCUGGGCUGACACUGACGCUCAGGCACGAAAGCGUGGGGAGCAAACAGG